GCACUGCUGAGGAGUCCCGUAAUAGGACGACACGAUCGUCAAGUGC
Molecule: non-coding RNA, 46 nt
Filed under: Schistosoma mattheei
Lineage: Eukaryota; Metazoa; Platyhelminthes; Trematoda; Strigeidida; Schistosomatidae
Source: RNAcentral